RNAcentral lists this ribosomal RNA (460 nucleotides) under uncultured bacterium. RNAcentral describes it as "partial 16S ribosomal RNA". It matches the Rfam family "Bacterial small subunit ribosomal RNA", at positions 338 to 795 of the family's 1533-position model. The record is from RNAcentral.
CCUACGGGGGGCAGCAGUGAGGAAUAUUGGUCAAUGGACGAGAGUCUGAACCAGCCAAGUAGCGUGAAGGAUGACUGCCCUAGGGGUUGUAAACUUCUUUUAUAAAGGAAUAAAACGAGGCACGUGUGCCUUUUUGCAUGUACUUUAUGAAUAAGGAUCGGCUAACUCCGUGCCAGCAGCCGCGGUAAUACGGAGGAUCCGAGGGUUAUCCGGAUUGAUUGGGUUUAAAGGGAGCGUAGAUGGGUUGUUAAGUCAGUUGUGAAAGUUUGCGGCUCAACCGUAAAAUUGCAAUUGAUACUGGCAGUCUUGAGUACAGUUGAGGUAGGCGGAAUUCGUGGUGUAGCGGUGAAAUGCUUAGAUAUCACGAAGAACCCCGAUUGCGAAGGCAGCUUACUAAACUGUGACUGACAUUGAUGCUCGAAAGUGUGGGUAUCAAACAGGAUUAGAUACCCCUGUAGUC